This 587-nucleotide ribosomal RNA is filed under the name Pichia fermentans. RNAcentral describes it as "eukaryotic LSU rRNA". It matches the Rfam family "Eukaryotic large subunit ribosomal RNA", at positions 36 to 640 of the family's 3401-position model. The record is from RNAcentral. Lineage: Eukaryota; Fungi; Ascomycota; Pichiomycetes; Pichiales; Pichiaceae.
UUUCAAUCCAAUAAGCGGAGGAAAAGAAACCAACAGGGAUUGCCUCAGUAGCGGCGAGUGAAGCGGCAAGAGCUCAGAUUUGAAAUCUCACCUAGUGUGCGAGUUGUAAAUUGCAGGUUGGAGUCUCGGGUUAGACGUGUGUGCAAGUCCCUUGGAACAGGGUGCCACUGAGGGUGAGAGCCCCGUAGCGUGCAUGUCGACACCUGUGAGGCCCUUCUGACGAGUCGAGUUGUUUGGGAAUGCAGCUCUAAGUGGGUGGUAAAUUCCAUCUAAGGCUAAAUAUUGGCGAGAGACCGAUAGCGAACAAGUACUGUGAAGGAAAGAUGAAAAGCACUUUGAAAAGAGAGUGAAACAGCACGUGAAAUUGUUGAAAGGGAAGGGUAUUGGGCUCGACAUGGGAUUUACGCAUCGUUGCCUCUCGUGGGCGGCGCUCUGGGUUUUUCCUGGGCCAGCAUCGGUUUUCGUUGCAGGAUAAGGACAAUUGGAAUGUGGCUCCUCGGAGUGUUAUAGCCUUUUGUAGAUGCUGCGUAUGGGGACCGAGGGCUGCGGCGGACUCGUUUCGUCUCGGAUGCUGCACAACGGGCAUC